This 403-nucleotide ribosomal RNA is filed under the name uncultured eukaryote. RNAcentral describes it as "bacterial SSU rRNA". It matches the Rfam family "Eukaryotic small subunit ribosomal RNA", at positions 592 to 991 of the family's 1831-position model. The record is from RNAcentral.
CAAGAGCGUAUAUUAAAGUUGUUGCAGUUAAAAAGCUCGUAGUUGGAUUUCUGGUCAAAUGCGCCUGGCCCGCGGCCGUAAGGUCUGUGAGUGCCGGUGCGCGUUUACCAUCCUUCUAGAAAACGUUUCUACCCUUUACUGGGCCGGACUCGCGAUCUAGAUCUUUUACUUUGAAAAAAUUAGAGUGUUUAAAGCAGGCUUUUGCUAUGAAUACAUUAGCAUGGAAUAAUAAUCUAGGACUUCGGUUCUAUUUUUGUGGUUUCUAGGACCGAAGUAAUGAUUAAUAGGGACAGUUGGGGGCAUUCAUAUUCCAUUGUCAGAGGUGAAAUUCUUGGAUUAACGGAAGAUGAACUUCUGCGAAAGCAUCUGCCAAGGAUGUUUUCAUUGAUCAAGAACGAAAGUU